Molecule: ribosomal RNA, 492 nt
Filed under: uncultured bacterium
Lineage: Bacteria
Description: partial 16S ribosomal RNA
Rfam family: Bacterial small subunit ribosomal RNA
Source: RNAcentral
AGUGAACGCUGGCGGUAGGCCUAACACAUGCAAGUCGAACGGCAGCACAGUAAAAGCUUGCUCUUACGGGUGGCGCGUGGCGGACGGGCGAGGAAUACAUCGGAAUCUACUUUUUCGUGGGGGAUAACGUAGGGAAACUUACGCUAAUACCGCAUACGACCUACGGGUGAAAGCAGGGGAUCUUCGGACCUUGCUCGAUUGAAUGAGCCGAUGUCGGAUUAGCUAGUUGGGGGGGGAAAGGCCUACCAAGGCGACGAUGCGUAGGUGGCAUGAGAGGCUGAUCAGCCACAUUGUAAGUGAGACACGGUCCAGACUCCGAGAGGAGGCAGCAGUGGAGAAUCUUGGGCGAGGGAGGCGAGGCUGAUCCAGCAAUACCGCGUGGGGGAAGAAGGCGUUCGGGUGGGAAAGCGCUGUUGUUGUGAGAGAAGAACAGCAGGUUUGUACCGCGAGGUACUGACGGUACCGAAAGAAUAAGCCCCGGCUAACUUCGUG